This 253-nucleotide unclassified non-coding RNA is filed under the name uncultured Myxococcales bacterium. RNAcentral's name for it is "contains 16S-23S intergenic spacer region". It matches the Rfam family "Bacterial small subunit ribosomal RNA", at positions 524 to 776 of the family's 1533-position model. The record is from RNAcentral. Lineage: Bacteria; Pseudomonadati; Myxococcota; Myxococcia; Myxococcales.
GACAGAGGGUGCGAACGUUGUUCGGAAUUACUGGGCGUAAAGCGCAUGUAGGCCGUCGCGCAAGUCGGGUGUGAAAGCCCAGGGCUCAACCCUGGAAGUGCACUCGAAACUGCGUGACUAGAAUCUCGGAGAGGGUAGCGGAAUUCUGGGUGUAGAGGUGAAAUUCGUAGAUAUCCAGAGGAACACCGGUGGCGAAGGCGGCUACCUGGACGAGUAUUGACGCUGAGAUGCGAAAGCGUGGGGAGCAAACAGG